RNAcentral lists this ribosomal RNA (497 nucleotides) under uncultured bacterium. RNAcentral describes it as "partial 16S ribosomal RNA". It matches the Rfam family "Bacterial small subunit ribosomal RNA", at positions 28 to 507 of the family's 1533-position model. The record is from RNAcentral.
GAUGAACGCUGGCGGCGUGCCUAAUACAUGCAAGUCGAGCGAACGGACGAGAAGCUUGCUUCUCUGAUGUUAGCGGCGGACGGGUGAGUAACACGUGGAUAACCUACCUAUAAGACUUGGAUAACUUCGGGAAACCGUAGCUAAUACCGGAUAAUAUUUUGAACCGCAUGGUUCAAAAGUGAAAGACGGUCUUGCUGUCACUUAUAGAUGGAUCCGCGCUGCAUUAGCUAGUUGUUAAGGUAACGGCUUACCAAGGCAACGAUGCAUAGCCGACCUGAGAGGGUGAUCGGCCACACUGGAACGGAGACACGGUCCAGACUCAUAAGGGAGGCAGCAGUAGGGAAUCUUCCGCAAUGGGCGAAAGCAUGACGGAGCAACGCCGCGUGAGUGAUGAAGGUCUUCGGAUCGUAAAACUCUGUUAUUAGGGAAGAACAUAUGUGUAAGUAACUGUGCACAUCUUGACGGUACCUAAUCAGAAAGCCACGGCUAACUACGUG